RNAcentral lists this transfer RNA (90 nucleotides) under Rhodobacteraceae bacterium WD3A24. RNAcentral's name for it is "tRNA-Ser". It matches the Rfam family "tRNA". Rfam says of the family: Transfer RNA (tRNA) molecules are approximately 80 nucleotides in length. Lineage: Bacteria; Pseudomonadati; Pseudomonadota; Alphaproteobacteria; Rhodobacterales; Paracoccaceae. The record is from RNAcentral.
GGAGAAGUGGCAGAGUGGUCGAUUGCGGCGGUCUUGAAAACCGUUGAGCCCUCGCAGGCUCCGUGGGUUCGAAUCCCACCUUCUCCGCCA